CUUUCUAGUAUCUCAAACCUGACAUCUGGAUCUAAUCGUCUUUUUCCUGGAGUUUGUUGCCGUUAAAAAUGCUUGCCAUAAAGAUAUGUCCGUUGUUGCCUCUAAGAAGAAGAAAGAAAGUCUAGGGACAAGGCAUCAGGAGUCUCUUUCCCCAUUCAAUGUGGAAUGCUGACUGGCUUGCUCUGGUACAGCUCCUGCUUCAGAGGCUAGGAAGGUGAAACAGAGGUGUGCUCAAAGACUAUGGGCAGUCCUGGGAACUCAGGAGACACACCCACCCAACACCAACACCAUGACUCAUCCUGCUGGGAAGGAGAGAAGGCAAUGGAGGCUCAAAAGAAUGUACCAGCAUCACACAGCAAGAAAAUGAGUGGCUCGAGCCUGUGCUGCCUGAUGACCAGGCCUUGCCCAUCACACAGCAUACCUCUUACCACUAGAGCUGCACGGCCACCUGUGUGCAGCUGCCACAAAGUCACGCACAACCUCAUUUCCAAGCUUGGAUGCAGUCCCUAAGCGAUGGACAAAAACUGCUGUUUAAAGACCAAGUUCUCUAGGACACCAAAAGCAAGAGCUAUCUGAUCCUAGCCCUAGACCCAGGGCUGUCAGAGUCCUCUAAGGCACUACCAGGACAUGAAUGUGAUUUGUAAUCCAAGUUCCAGGGGCAGGCUUUCCCA
This is a long non-coding RNA of Mastomys coucha (southern multimammate mouse), 671 nucleotides long. RefSeq lists it as uncharacterized. The transcript has 4 exons. Lineage: Eukaryota; Metazoa; Chordata; Mammalia; Rodentia; Muridae. The record is from RefSeq and is a predicted model, not a curated record.